UUUUGAUACAUGGGUAUAAGAUUUUAUGAUCAAAUAAGGGUAAUUAGUAAAUCCAUAGCCUCAAACAUUUAUCACUUUUGUGUUGAGAGUAUUCCAAAUAUUCUCUUCUAGCUAGUUGAAUAUAUACAACAAGUUGCUCACUCUAGUCACACAAUAGUGCUAGAGAACAUUAUAGCUUAAUCCUCCUACCUGGCUUCAAUGUUGUAUCUGUUAGCCAACCUCUCACUCUCCCCCUCUUUCUCCUACCCCUUCCUGCUUCUGUCACCAUCCUACUCUCUACCUCUAUG
This 287-nucleotide long non-coding RNA is filed under the name Pan troglodytes (chimpanzee). RNAcentral describes it as "long non-coding RNA NONPTRT016545". The record is from RNAcentral. Lineage: Eukaryota; Metazoa; Chordata; Mammalia; Primates; Hominidae.